CACGGUUUCCUGCACUACUCAAUCUCUCGUUGCUGCCCACCAUCAUCUUCCUCCCUCUGCCAUGACCUUUCGAUGUUCCCUUCCCAAAUCGAAGAAGCCUUCUAUCAUUUUUAAAGCCUAAAGAAUGGUUCAUGAAUCAUAAGGUAGAGGGAAUGGAGGUUCACGUAAAUGAGGAUGGGGUAACACAAACUCGUGGUGGGAUUUACUGGUUGAUCUUGCCUGCUGGAUUGGACACUUCGAGGACUUUGUAUUGGUGCUCUAAGCUAUGGGUAUUAGUCCAUGGCCUUCCAACAAAUUAAAUUUGCCCCAAUUAUUUCCGUAUGCUAAGCAUACCAACAAUGGAGAUUUUAAACAUUUUUUCUCCACAUAAGGGCUUUUAUAGAGUGUUUCACAAGCUGAAGAAGCACAUACGAUAAUUCUUGUGGCUGCAAAUGACGUUGCUUUCUCUAUGCAUGCUUUCUUUUGAAAGCAAUUACCUUGUUCGAGAUUGUAAUAUAUGAUGUAGGUGGCACCUUUGCAACACCUCUCAAUGGGAAGGCCCUUGCUUCUUUUUGUGUUAAUGGCUGUCCUAUGUUUAUGAAGAUUGCUUCUUUUUGUGGUUGUUUCUUCUGCAAUUAGAUUUCUUUUUACAGCUAAGGUAUAUGGCUUGCAUGUAUUUAUAGCUAGUCGUUAUUUUCAUCCAAUGACAAUAUUAUUUUGAA
This is a long non-coding RNA of Carya illinoinensis, 701 nucleotides long. RefSeq lists it as uncharacterized. NCBI's taxonomy places the organism in Eukaryota, Viridiplantae, Streptophyta, Magnoliopsida, Fagales, Juglandaceae. The record is from RefSeq and is a predicted model, not a curated record. The transcript has 5 exons.